Hydra vulgaris (swiftwater hydra) is the source of this 569-nucleotide non-coding RNA. The record is from RefSeq and is a predicted model, not a curated record. NCBI's taxonomy places the organism in Eukaryota, Metazoa, Cnidaria, Hydrozoa, Anthoathecata, Hydridae.
UACUUUGUAUUUGGUUUAGUUAUUGCUUAAAAAUGUAUAACUUUAAAGUUUGGACAAGCGAUAGAGUUUAGAAAAAGUUUUUUAUUGCUGACAAUUUAUUGAGCUUAAAGACAAAAGCACAAAAAAAGUUCAACUUGAUCAACCCUGUUGUGAUAGUUUUGAAUUCUGAUGGCACAGAAAUAGAUGACGAUGAGGUGCUAUUGCACUGUGUAAAUGAAGUGUUGAUUGUUCUAGGGUCCGAACAAUUUUGGACUCAUGAAAUCCAUGUCACUCCAAAGUCUGAGCAACAAGGGAGUUCUAAUUCAAUAGAUUUUUUUACAAAUUCUGAAUUUGCACCUCAACCUUCUGCAGUUAAAUCUGCCAAUAGUUUAACACCAGGGCUUGACUUUAAAUCAACUUAUGAACCAUCAAUUGCAACUAUUCAAACUUCUCAGACGAAUGAGAAUACCCUGCGUGUGUUUCCUUUUGUGUAUAGCAUUCCUGUUCUUCCCCAACACAUUUCUGUAGCCCUACAAAAGGCAAAGAACAAGGCUUCAUUAGAGCCAUUUGCAGAGCAUUCUCUUGUGAGA